GUUGAGGCCAGGAAAAGUCAAGGAUGAGUAUUGAUUUAUAUAGCUAAUUUUUGGAGUGCGAGGUGAGUCUAGUGCCGAUACCAGGGUCGCGGAUCAGGAGGAGGGUGCGUGACAUGGAUGGACCCCUGGAGGGUGAUAGGACUAAAUAGUUCUAAAUAGUUCUAAACUUGAUAUAUGUUAUUAUUUUGUCGUAAUUAUGUUACCUUGUCGAGACAUUGUGUGAUGUCCCUGUUCGAUGACGGGAUGGACGGUAGGGAGGGUACUCCGUGUGAUCGGGACUCCCGAACCGGGUUUGUGGACUUCGAGUCCUGACGAUUCUUAUGUUUUCAGAAUUGCUAUUUGUGCUGGAUAUUGACUAUAUAUGUUGUUGUGUGGAGAAAUUAUGUGUGACUGUUAGGUGGCCUGAGGCCCUGCUUAGA
Tripterygium wilfordii is the source of this 419-nucleotide long non-coding RNA. RefSeq lists it as uncharacterized. NCBI's taxonomy places the organism in Eukaryota, Viridiplantae, Streptophyta, Magnoliopsida, Celastrales, Celastraceae. The transcript has 2 exons. The record is from RefSeq and is a predicted model, not a curated record.